GCUUGCUCUUGAAGCCUUCAGUCUCUAUGCACGCAGCAUGCCUUCCCAGCCUCCUGUGGUUGUAGAGUGUAUAGAAGGCAGUUGGAUCACUAUGGACAGCGGGUAAGAGCUGAGGAAGCAGCCUCCGCCAGGUGGUAACAUGGAGGACCCUGAAGCAGGCCAAUUAAAUCAAGCAUAUUCCUCAGUAUCAUGGAGAGACUGGAGGUUAGAGACACCAAAACCAUCCCUGGCUUAAUGACUUUGGGAUCCCUGGGCCCCUCCAUGCAGCAGAACGGCAAUUAACCAAGCAAAGGAAGAGAGGGCAGCAGGGCUGAAUCCUGUCAUGGAAUGCUUCCAUCUGCAAGUGGCACAUUUCAGUGGCCAAAGCAAAUUAUGCCAUCCCUGACUUCAAGACCAUUGGCCAUUCUCUGACCAUCUCAAGCCAGAGGUGACUUGAUCUGUCACCCAGCUGUGGCCCAUGAGCAUUAUCUAAGGAGGAACAUUUUUGCUUACGUUUCCAGUGCUCUACAUAAGCCCUAGGCCCUGGGAGGCACUGAAAUGCUCAAUGGGAGCUCCAUGUGUGCAGGCUUAUGGACUGAAAUACUACUUUCAUGGCUCUGGCUAUGAACAUCAGCAUAUAGAGAAUGGAUCACUACCAAAGAAGGCACCCGAAUGUGUCUGUCUCAUCCUGGGGAAACUCAUUCAUCUGUAUAUGUACUCAGCAAGUGUUUCCUGGCACCUGCUCUGGGUCACAGUGCUGGGCACUGGAAGCUGAGAGAUGUGGAAGAAGGCUGGACAUUCAAGAUGAGAAGCCCGAGGCUGGUAAACUAGAGUCCAAGGGCAGAAAGCUGCUGAGCCAACCUAAAUGUGCAGUCCCAUCUCUCCCAAAGAUCCCAGGCCAGCCGGAGCUGAAUGCAAGAACUAUUUAAGAAGCCUCAGCUCCUCUUCACUCCCAGGGACAAUGGCUGGAGGAAGAAAUGAGAGGAUCUCUAUACCCAGGCCUUGGCUUCUAUGUCCCUUCUCGAAGUGGUUGAAGUGCAGAUUUCUGAUUCUGUACCCAGCCUCCAGGGACACAGUACACAGUAUGCUGGGAAUGGCGGUGGGUGUUUGAGGUACAUUACUUCCAGACAAAACAUGGCUGCAGAGGGAUACCAAAAGCAUCUUCUGGUGGCUGAAGCCCUGUCUGCACAAGUGUCUGUGUUCUUCAAUGGUUCAGGCAAGCUCAGACAGACCCUCUGCUUCUCUUAACCUGAGACACUAGUUUCCCCAAGAACUUUGAGCUGAAGGUUCCUUGCUGUGUCCCCUACCUGGCUGUGAGGACUUUGAGUAUAAUUAUCCUAUCUUAUUUGUUGCUGUGCUCCCAGUGUCUUGGAUGGAGCCUGACAUCUAGUCAGUGUUAGUAAAUGUUGAUGUGUAUUGAAUUUUGCAAGGAUCUGCAGCCCUGAGAAGAGGGGAUACUUCUUGGAAACCUCUGUGGGCUAAAUUGAGGGUUAAGGACUGGGACUGGAAGGCAGAGAUUCCAGAGUGAUAACCACAGUAGUUACUAUUUCAUGAGAGCCUCCAUGUGCCAGCCUCUAAGCUAGGCCCAUACCAUGCAUUACCUCUUGUCCCCACUUUACAGAAACUAAGGCUUAGACAAGUUAAGCAACUUGCUAAAGAUCAAACAACUCAAUAUGUGUUGGAGUCAAAUGAACGCAUUUCUUUUCCAUUUCCCUCAUUUACUCCACUAAUGACAGUACUUAAAUUGUAGACUAGGAAUUAAAAUAGCAGAAGCCUGACUUGAGAGGGCAGAGCCCCUGCGUUUGAGUGCCUGAAAGUCAGUCAUGGGUAGAAAGAACAGUCUUGUAGCAGAGCUCUGGGCAAGGGAGGAGCCGUGAGCAGGUGGACAUGAACUCACUGUGACAACUCUCCAACAGUGAAAGCAGGUUCCCAUGGAAUCCAGGGAAAUUACUGAAUAACUUUCAACACAAAAAUGUGUGCUAGUGAGCUGUAGAGCCU
Homo sapiens (human) is the source of this 1977-nucleotide long non-coding RNA. RefSeq lists it as uncharacterized. Lineage: Eukaryota; Metazoa; Chordata; Mammalia; Primates; Hominidae. The transcript has 9 exons. The record is from RefSeq and is a predicted model, not a curated record.